Bombina bombina (fire-bellied toad) is the source of this 746-nucleotide long non-coding RNA. RefSeq lists it as uncharacterized. The transcript has 4 exons. Lineage: Eukaryota; Metazoa; Chordata; Amphibia; Anura; Bombinatoridae. The record is from RefSeq and is a predicted model, not a curated record.
CUUUACUUAACCCAGUGUUGGAGGAUUUGUUAUUUCUGACAAAUGUGAAUAUAAAUACAAAACGAUAACAAGGGAAUUCUUAGCUGAUCUUUUAGGUAUCAUAUUCGCAGAUAAUGGACUUUUUAUUUUCAAAUCUGAUUACUGCAAGUUAAGAAGCAGCUGUAUUCCGUAUGAUUGACAGGCCUUAGAAGGUGGCACUGCUUAAACAUUUCCUUCUUCAAUAAAAAAUGAGGGCAGAUAUCCACCACAAAAAUUCUGGACAACCCUUCAGCCUACAGGGUAUUGAUAGAGUUGCCUUCAGAGGUCAGUAAACUUCCCCAAAGACACCAUCGCUGCAUCUAAUUCAUCUCUGCUAUACCGUUUGAUAAAGAGUCUAUGUAAAUAAAUACUGAAAGCCCUGUUGACCCCAGGAUAACAACAAGAUUGCACUUUGCAAUGGUAGCAAAGAGAAUUGCUUGAGAUGAGAACUGACAUUGGGGUUCAAGGGUUAAUUUCUGGAACAGGAACAUUUGCAUACAAAUGAAAAAUGACGGAAUUUCUCUUCUCCUAAAUUUUCAAUGUCACCAGCAUCAAACAGCAGCCAGCAAUCCCUUGCUGUUUGAAUGAUAUUCAUUACUUGUGAGGAAAGGGGCACCUUGUUUGGUAUUAAUCACAAUUGCAGGUCAAUGACUUAAUUUACCAAACUCCAUCUGAAGUGCCACUCACUAUGAGUUUUCUCCUGUUUUAUUUUAAUCUACAAGGUUUAU